Molecule: RNA transcript, 5248 nt
Organism: Esox lucius (northern pike)
Lineage: Eukaryota; Metazoa; Chordata; Actinopteri; Esociformes; Esocidae
Gene name: zinc fingers and homeoboxes protein 1
Exons: 4
Source: RefSeq, a predicted model, not a curated record
UUGACGUUCUAGCUCGGUGGAACUAAAAAAAAUGACUAUCGUUAGAUUCGGUGAGCUAUCCGUGCCUACAUCCAGGCCUGUUUAAACGCACGAACAAACGAAGCGAGGCGACGUUUUGUAGGCAAAAGGAAAGGGAGUGAAAGCUACCGAAGGUCGGCGCAUUUUCUAUUCUGCCCUGCGUCUAUGGUAACAACAGAUGGACUCGUUGCGCCAGUGUGCCACUGCCGGAGUCUACUGUGCAUUUAGGGAGGGAACGACUGGGCAAAAGCGGAAGACAGCGCAUCAACAGUCAGAUAUGUUUGGAAGCUAUCUGGUUGUUGCAAGAUGCUUGUAAGCGCCAGUUCGGAAUUUAAGGAUAGGUACGAAAAACGAGUUUGAACACUGAAGACUGAAGACUGCAUGGAGCAACAGGUACUAAACUAAGAUUUAGAUUAAAAAAAAAAAAAAGAUUAAACACAACUCAUUCUGGAAAUAAUGGCGAGCAGAAGAAAAUCCACAACGCCUUGCAUGGUGGCUCCUGUUGAAAUAGUAGAUUCAGACCCUGACAUGGAGGUUGUUACAGAGGGAGAUGAAGAGGCUGAAGGGGGGGCUGCUGACUGCUCAGUGGAAAACAUAACUGAAAGCAAAUCUAGCGAAGACGACACACAGGCCAUCGACCACUUUAUUAAAAACAUGGACUCGAGUAUGGCAGAAGGAGGUUAUGAGUGCAAGUACUGCAGCUUUCAGACCUCUCAGCUCAAUAUGUUUACCUUGCAUGUGGACACUGAGCACCCGAAUAUAGUUUUGAACUCAUCCUACGUGUGUGUCGAAUGUGAUUUUCACACCAAGAGGUAUGACGCAUUGUUGGAGCAUAAUGCACGCCACCACCCUGGAGAAGACAAUUUUACCAGGACUAUGGUGAAGCGCAACAAUCAAACCAUCUUUGAGCAGAGAGUCAACGACUUGACAUUUGACGGCGGUUUUGUUAAGGUUGAGGAGGAUGAGGACACCUCCUGUAAAGGCAUUGCCCUAAGCAAGACGCCCAUCAUGAAGCUCAAGAGUAAAGCUGAUGCCAAGAAAUUCGCAGGGUCACUCAAAAUGGCCGACCUGAAUGUCAUCAAGGUGGAGAGCGAUGUGGAAGAUGAGACAGAGGUGGCCCCGCCUCCUGGCACUCCCACAGUAGUGGCUGUGUCAACCCCUAUGACUGUUCAGCCCAUUCAGCAGAGCAUAAUGGUCAACAGCCCAAGCAUGCUUCAGAUAAAAACGACAAACUCCAACACCAUGCUCCCUCCAGGGACGCUGGCUCAAGUCCUCUCUGCUUUGCAAAAUCAGCAGGCCUCCCAGACCCAGCUCCUUAUCCCGGUCAGUAGUAUUCCUACAUAUAAUGGGGCCAUGGACAAUAAUGUCCUACUGGUAAGUGCCUACAACAGGUUCCCUUACCCUUCUGUUUCGGAGAUAAUGGGGCUAGCAGCCCAAACCAAGUUCACAGAAGAGCAGAUAAAGGUGUGGUUCUCUGCCCAGCGGCUGAAACAUGGUGUUAGCUGGACUCCAGAGGAGGUGGAGGAGGCCAGGAGGAAGAAGUUCAAUGGCUCAGUUCAACAGGUACCACAGACCAUCACUGUCAUACCAGCAAAUUUUGCCACGGCAGCCAAUGGACUGCAGUCCAUCUUUCAGACCUGUCAGAUUGUAGGGCAGCCAGGGAUGGUUUUGACUCAGGUAGGGGGUGGUGGCAAUGCUGUCCCUGUGGCCUCACCCAUCACAUUGACUGUAGCUGGGGUAACCAAUCCCAGGACCAGUGCCAGUAAGGUGCCAGAUCCUUCCACCUCUGACACCGCUUCUCCACUCAGUCCUGAUCCUCUGGGAGCACGACCCAAAAAAUCCAAGGAGCAGCUGGCGGAGUUAAAAGCCAGUUAUCUGCGGAGGCAGUUUGCCACCGAGGCAGAAAUCUCUCGGUUAAUGAAAGUCACUAACCUCACCAAAAGAGCAAUAAAGAAGUGGUUCAGCGACACCCGCUAUAACCAGCGCAACUCAAAGGACCACCACGGCGUUGCCUUAAAUGACAUUGCAGUCAGCGCCAACAGCAAUGAAGGCAGCUCUGCCAUUGUGAUUGACUCCAGCGACGAAGCCGGUGACUCCUCUCCCACAACGCAAGGGCCCAUCUAUGAUCCACGAAUCAAGUUCCGCCAUGCCUUUCCUGACUUCACGCCUCAGAAGUUCAAGGAAAAGACUCCGGAGCAGCUUCUACUUUUGGAGGCCAGCUACCAGAAGUCUGACAAGCCUAGCGAUGAGGAGCUGAGUAGGCUGAGGAUGGAGACUAAACUGACUAGGCGAGAGGUGGAUGCCUGGUUCUCCGAGAGGAGAAAAAUGCCAGCGGAUUUGAAAGAUGGAACAGAGGAGGCAAAGGGUGACCGGGUCAAAGGACCUUCCUCUGGGCAGGAGCCUCAGACUCUGCCCAGCGGCCGAAAAAUAAUGAAGAAAACCCCAGAGCAGCUCCAUAUCCUGAAAAGCGCCUUUGUUCGUACCCAGUGGCCCUCCGCUGAAGAGUACGAUAAGAUGGCAGAGGAGAGCGGGUUACCCCGAACCUACAUUGUUAACUGGUUUGGAGAUACACGUUAUGCAUGCAAAAACAGCAACCUGAAGUGGUACUACUUGUACCAGAGUGGAAAAGGUGAUGUGACAAUGAACGGAGGUGGACUAAAGAAAAAGCCACGGAAACGAUUUCGAGGUUGGUCAAGGAGGACGAGGCGGCCGUACCCCUGCAAACAGACACCCCCUGCUAUUAAAGUCAAGACAGGUAAAGAUAUUUUAAAGGAGCACUACCUCAAGAAUAACGUCUUAAAUGAGAAAGAUUUGGAUGAACUGGUGGCCAAGUCCAGUAUGAGCUAUGAGCAGGUGCGAGACUGGUUUGCAGAGAUUAGCAGGAGGGAAGAAAAUGGCCUUGACCCCUUCAGCGAUGUAGAAAAGCAGACACAUGUUGAGGGUGAGGGUGAGAUGGAAGUGAAAGAGCAAGGGGGGGAUGUCGCUAACGAAGAACAUAAAGAUAAUGAGGACAACAGUGAUGAGGAUGAAAACAAUAACAACAACAAGGAUGAAGAUGAAAUCAAUGACAGUGAAACCAGGGAAGAGCCUCAAUGUAUCAACCAAUCACAGCCAGAAGCAGAGGAGCAGUGACUAAAGGUCCAGGAGGACAAUGAACCCAAACACACAACUAAAGCAGGCAAGGAGAAUGUUCUUGACGGGCUGACUUAAUCAUCCAACCUGAAUCCAAUUGAGCAUGUGUUGAUCACUGAAGGUGGGACUUUAGGCCAAAAUGCCAGAAAACAAUCAGGUACUGAAUAUGGCAGCAGUAAAUGCCUGGUAGAGCAUCACCUGGAAAGAUACUCCGCAUAGUGAUCUCUAUGAAGCAAAAACAUCAGGCAGCCAUUGUCUGCAAAGGAUUGGCAAGCAAGUAUGAAAUGUGACUUCAGAAGUAUGUAAAUGUGUCCAGUUACAUUGGUUCCACUAAAAUGGGAGGCGCUAUGCAUUGAUAGGCCUGUAGUUCCUACAUGGUUCACAGUUUCUGUAUACUUAUGGACGACACUGUAUUUGACAAGAUGUUGACCAUGUUCAACAUUGGAAGAAAAAAAGGAAUACAUGUAAAUCUUGAAUAAUCACAAUUACUACAUAAUACUACAGGGCACAUUGGUGCCCUCAAAUAACACAAAGACCUGUAAAACAUUUUGUAUUUCCACAUGCGUGGAAGACAAGUGUACAAAUGUACUUAGAAUAGAUUGAAUAGAAUGAUUGUGCUUGAAUCUGCAAAAGCGAAUUGCUCUUUCAGAAAAAUGUAUCUUGAUAGGUUCAAUCAAGAAGUUGUUUCCUGAUGUGAUAAUGACUGGCUGUUGACUACAUCACCAUAACCAUUUACAUGUGGACAGAUUUCACAUUGUUUCCCCACAGAAGAGGAAGAGAUGAAGGACACAGGUGAAAUGUACCAAUUAUAGUUGCAAAAUUCUGGUAAUUUCUUGGUUUUUGAGAAAUCCUGGUUGGUAGAUUGCCUAUCAUCUUCAUAUUCCCUGCUUAUUCUGGAAAACACCCAUACAAGAUUUCUGGAAAACCUCAGAUUUUGGGAAGGCUACUGGAAUUUUGCAACCCUAGUACCAAGUCUUUUGGUGUUAUACUGCGUGGACCAACCAGACACAAAGAAACAAGACAGGAUAUUUGAUGCCAAAUAAUUUCAGCAAGGGAUUCUAGAAAUGUUUUACCAUAGCUUUGUUGAAAAUAAAAUUUGGUCUUCUGGGACAUUUUAGUAAUAUUUUACCUUGCUACCUUCAAUAAAUCCAAGAGGUAAAACCUCACCUCUUUCUGGUAGGUUAUGUGAUAACUUUGAACCCUUUUUAAAAGUUGUGAUAUUGUGUCCAGGUUCAAGGGAAUUUUCCUAUGUUUUUUCUUUGAUGUACUGACAACGGUUUUAAAAACCUCAAAGUUUUGUGAAUAUUACGUAAAUGAGUGCCAUCUGUUUUUGAAUUAUGCUUUUAAAUGGAACCUCUGCUUUAGUUCCACAAACUGUUUUCUAUAUGUAUUCAAGUUAUUUGUUAGUCUUAGAAUUACACAUUGUUGAGUAAUCCAGGUUUAUAUUCUGAUCAGUUUUUGGGGGGGUGGGUUUCUUUGAAUGCUGGCUUUCCAAAUGAAAAAGGUAUGUGUGCUGUAAAUCAGGAUUUAGUAAAUAUUACCUCAGUCUUUUAAGCUAAGAGUUGAAGAAAGUUACAUUUUUCAUUUUAGUUAUGAAAAAACAGUUGAAACCGGUCCAUUAUUAAUGUGCUUCAGAUGGCAGUUUUUUGUAAAGUAACAAACUUACAUUGAAUGCAUAGUCAUGCUUUUUCAUACAAAUUACGGGUUGUUAAAAUCUUUCAGGUGUUAAAUGACAGUUAACAAUAUAGUUUGAAGAUACUACAUGUAUGGUUCCUAUAAAUGAGAGAAUUUUACUUAACUUUUUUUUUUCUCUGCUCAUUUUCCUCUUAUCUUAUAGGACUAUGCUAAAAUCUGGAUGUACAGGUUUUUGUAUGCAACUAGCCUAUACAUCAAAGAACAAUCAAUUGAGGGAAAGGGGAAUUGUAAAUUAUUGUUUUGGUUCUCUAUAUUUGAAGCAAUUACAAGGAAUCUUAUAAAUUCUGUACUAUGAUAUAAGCCUUUUGCCAUCCUUAAUUGCUGUAAUAAUGACAAUUAUGUUUAGUUAAUUUAUUUAUUCUAUCCUAUCUGAAACUAAAAUAAACGUUGCCAAGAAAAUGUA